RNAcentral lists this ribosomal RNA (240 nucleotides) under uncultured bacterium. Its description in RNAcentral is "partial 16S ribosomal RNA". It matches the Rfam family "Bacterial small subunit ribosomal RNA", at positions 15 to 236 of the family's 1533-position model. The record is from RNAcentral.
GAUCCUGGCUCAGGAUGAACGCUGGCGGCGUGCUUAACACAUGCAAGUCGAGCGAAGCACUUUGGAAAGAUUCUUCGGAUGAUUUCCUUUGUGACUGAGCGGCGGACGGGUGAGUAACGCGUGGGUAACCUGCCUCAUACAGGGGGAUAACAGUUAGAAAUGACUGCUAAUACCGCAUAAGACCACGGUACCGCAUGGUACAGUGGUAAAAACUCCGGUGGUAUGAGAUGGACCCCGCGU